AGCAAAUAUUGUUACGACCUGACGCAAGAAGCCGGUAAAAAAACUAAAAGGAUUUCUUAUUUCAUGUAACCAAUAAAAAAAUUUCGGUCUACAAAGUGUAAUUAUUAUGACCGGUAAAACAGGACGGUCCGGCAUCACCUUAAGACACGCUGCUUGAGAAAAGAUGAAACACUAAAGAAGCAAGGAGAAAAUAUUGAGACCUCUGUAUAAUUUGUCACUAGUAACCUCUUUAUCCUCUAAUUUAAUGGAAAAGGUGAAUUAAUGUGAACUAUCUCUUUCAGAAUAUUUUAGAGAAAGAAAAGCUAGAUUCGGUGGAGAACAGUAGAGCGACAAAAUAUUUCAGAAUAAAGUUAAGAAUAUUAAAUGUGAUACUUGGUGUUAUAUAAAAA
This is a long non-coding RNA of Formica exsecta, 389 nucleotides long. RefSeq lists it as uncharacterized. The transcript has 4 exons. Lineage: Eukaryota; Metazoa; Arthropoda; Insecta; Hymenoptera; Formicidae. The record is from RefSeq and is a predicted model, not a curated record.